CCACCAGGGAGGUGUAACCGCAUGGAAGGAAGGGAAAGUGAAGGAUCAAGCUGCAAGUCAAUUAUGAAUGUAGCCAGGAUUCCAGCCUAAUGCCUUGCCAGGUAGAUCACAUUGUCUUCCAUUAAAGAUGACUACUGUCCGGUCAAAGGAGAUUGAACUUGGGAUAUCCAAAAGUGAAUGUUUGUGUUUCCACAGCCUGAGCUAAAAAAGCUGAAGUAGACAACUGUGAAAUACUCGCAUCAUCUGUGGAUCAGACAUAGGGAAGCACAGUGGCCGAAGGUCUAUGGAAGAUUUGGGAAAUCUUGAUGCUCAGCAGCUGUUUUUCCAGAUGCCAUGGAAAGAACAAAGAAAUAAAUCUGACAACUAUAGAAUGAAAAAGAAAAUACUGAAAUUAUUCCAGUUUAAGUUAACAAUGGAUUUGAGUGCUUCCCUCACUAUCCUAAUUUAAGACAAGCUCUGAAGUGUCUUAUAUCCACUGAAGUUGGUAGUGAGUGUGGCCAAUUUUUCUUCAGGGCCCAAUAAAACUUGUGAUAAUGGUAUGUAAGUUUGAAUAACAAUAAAAAUAUGUUUAUCUAUGUAUACAUAUAGAAGCUAAGAGAUGGAAAUACAUAAAUGUAUCCAUCCAAAAUUUUUCUUCUGAAAAAAGUUUGGAUGAUUUUACCUUUAUGUUGCAACUUAUAAUUGCCUUAUAGAACUGGAACUAUACAAUUAGAAUGAGUAAAAUGAGAUAUAUAUGCAACACUAUCAUGUAGAAAAUCUAUACCAGUUCAUGUGCCACAUUAUCACCAUAGGGUACUGUCAGUGGUGUGAGUGAAGACAGAGCCAAAAUAUAAGCACAAAUAAGAACAUUUUUCAUAGCUAUUCUUGAGGAAUUGUUAGCAUUAUGUCCCAAUAACACCAGAAAUAGAAACUGAAUUUCAUUUCUACUUCUAUCUGCAUUCCAUAGUUCCCUGUCCCCGCAACCCCCAAAUAACAGGUGGAAGGUUCCCAGGAUAUUUACCUAAGGACCUUGUAUGAACCCUAUUACUAUGGUCUCUGAGAAUGUAACCAUGUUUCAUACAUAAAUCCUAGGUACCAUGCCACUUAAUGGAUGCCUUAAUUGUGAACUGACCACUUAAAUU
Alligator sinensis (Chinese alligator) is the source of this 1121-nucleotide long non-coding RNA. RefSeq lists it as uncharacterized. The record is from RefSeq and is a predicted model, not a curated record. NCBI's taxonomy places the organism in Eukaryota, Metazoa, Chordata, Crocodylia, Alligatoridae. The transcript has 4 exons.